RNAcentral lists this ribosomal RNA (497 nucleotides) under uncultured bacterium. Its description in RNAcentral is "partial 16S ribosomal RNA". It matches the Rfam family "Bacterial small subunit ribosomal RNA", at positions 28 to 507 of the family's 1533-position model. The record is from RNAcentral.
GACGAACGCUGGCGGCGUGCUUAAUACAUGCAAGUCGAGCGAACAGAUGAGGAGCUUGCUCCUCUGACGUUAGCGGCGGACGGGUGAGUAACACGUGGAUAACCUACCUAUAAGACGGGGAUAAUUUCGGGAAACCGGAGCUAAUACCGGAUAAUAUAUUGAACCGCAUGGUGCAAUAGUGAAAGACGGCUUUGCUGUCACUUAUAGAUGGAUCCGCGCCUCAUUAGCUAGUUGGUAAGUUAACGGCUUACCAAGGCAACGAGGCGUAGCCGACCUGAGAGGGUGAUCGGCCACACUGGAACUGAGACACGGUCCAGACUCCUACGAGAGGCAGCAGUAGGGAAUCUUCCGCAAUGGGCGAAAGCCUGACGGAGCAACGCCGCGUGAGUGAUGAAGGUCUUCGGAUCGUAAAACUCUGUUAUUAGGGAAGAACAAAUGUGUAAGUAACUAUGCACGUCUUGACGGUACCUAAUCAGAAAGCCACGGCUAACUACGUG